Molecule: ribosomal RNA, 468 nt
Filed under: uncultured bacterium
Lineage: Bacteria
Description: partial 16S ribosomal RNA
Rfam family: Bacterial small subunit ribosomal RNA
Source: RNAcentral
GACGAACGCUGGCGGCGUGCUUAACACAUGCAAGUCGAACGGAAAGGCCCUGCGUUUGUGGGGUGCUCGAGUGGCGAACGGGUGAGUAACACGUGAGCAACCUGCCCUAGACUUUGGGAUAAGUUCAGGAAACUGGGGCUAAUACCGGAUAGGAGAUCCUGCUGCAUGGUGGGGGUUGGAAAGUUUCGGCGGUUGGGGAUGGACUCGCGGCUUAUCAGCUUGUUGGUGGGGUAGUGGCUUACCAAGGCUUUGACGGGUAGCCGGCCUGAGAGGGUGACCGGCCACAAUGGGACUGAGAGACGGCCCAGACUCCUACGGGAGGCAGCAGUGGGGAAUAUUGCACAAUGGGCGGAAGCCUGAUGCAGCGACGCCGCGUGCGGGAUGACGGCCUUCGGGUUGUAAACCGCUUUCGGCUGUGACGAAGCGUUAGUGACGGUACCGGGAGAAGAAGCACCGGCUAACUACGUG